RNAcentral lists this ribosomal RNA (459 nucleotides) under uncultured bacterium. RNAcentral's name for it is "partial 16S ribosomal RNA". It matches the Rfam family "Bacterial small subunit ribosomal RNA", at positions 338 to 795 of the family's 1533-position model. The record is from RNAcentral.
CCUACGGGUGGCAGCAGUGAGGAAUAUUGGUCAAUGGUCGGGAGACUGAACCAGCCAAGCCGCGUGAGGGAUGAAGGUACAGAGUAUCGUAAACCUCUUUUGUCAGGGAACAAAGGCGGGGACGUGUCCCCGGCUGAGUGUACCUGAAGAAAAAGCAUCGGCUAACUCCGUGCCAGCAGCCGCGGUAAUACGGAGGAUGCGAGCGUUAUCCGGAUUUAUUGGGUUUAAAGGGUGCGCAGGCGGUCUGUUAAGUCAGCGGUCAAAGCCCGGGGCUCAACCCCGGCCCGCCGUUGAAACUGGCAGGCGCGAGUUGGAGAGAGGGAUGCGGAAUGCGCGGUGUAGCGGUGAAAUGCAUAGAUAUGGCGCAGAACUCCGAUUGCGAAGGCAGCAUGCCGGCUCCACACUGACGCUGAGGCACGAAAGCGUGGGUAUCGAACAGGAUUAGAUACCCCUGUAGUC